GAUGAACGCUGGCGGCGUGCCUAAUACAUGCAAGUCGAGCGAACAGACGAGGAGCUUGCUCCUUUGACGUUAGCGGCGGACGGGUGAGUAACACGUAGGUAACCUACCUAUAAGACUGGGAUAACUUCGGGAAACCGGAGCUAAUACCGGAUAAUAUUUCGAACCGCAUGGUUCGAUAGUGAAAGAUGGCUUUGCUAUCACUUAUAGAUGGACCUGCGCCGUAUUAGCUAGUUGGUAAGGUAACGGCUUACCAAGGCAACGAUACGUAGCCGACCUGAGAGGGUGAUCGGCCACACUGGAACUGAGACACGGUCCAGACUCCUACGGGAGGCAGCAGUAGGGAAUCUUCCGCAAUGGGCGAAAGCCUGACGGAGCAACGCCGUGUGAGUGAUGAAGGUCUUCGGAUCGUAAAACUCUGUUAUUAGGGAAGAACAAACGUGUAAGUAACUGUGCACGUCUUGACGGUACCUAAUCAGAAAGCCACGGCUAACUACGUG
Molecule: ribosomal RNA, 497 nt
Filed under: uncultured bacterium
Lineage: Bacteria
Description: partial 16S ribosomal RNA
Rfam family: Bacterial small subunit ribosomal RNA
Source: RNAcentral